RNAcentral lists this ribosomal RNA (413 nucleotides) under uncultured microorganism. RNAcentral's name for it is "bacterial SSU rRNA". It matches the Rfam family "Archaeal small subunit ribosomal RNA", at positions 330 to 745 of the family's 1478-position model. The record is from RNAcentral.
GCGCAGCAGUCGCGAAACCUUCGCAAUGCGGGAAACCGCGACGAGGGGACUCCCAGUGCCUACGCUCAGCGUAGGCUGUUCCCGAGCCUAGAAAGCUCGGGGAGUAAGGGCUGGGUAAGACGGGUGCCAGCCGCCGCGGUAAUACCCGCAGCCCGAGUGGUGGCCACUAUUAUUGGGCCUAAAGCGUCCGUAGCCGGCCCGGUAAAUGCCUGGGUAAAUCGUGAGGCCUAACCUCACGAAUUCCGGGUAGACUGCCGGGCUAGGGACCGGAGGAGGGAGAGGGUACUCCAGGGGUAGGGGUGAAAUCCUGUAAUCCCUGGAGGACCACCGGUGGCGAAGGCGCUCUCCUAGGACGGGUCCGACGGUGAGGGACGAAAGCCAGGGGAGCGAACCGGAUUAGAUACCCCCGUAGU